Molecule: ribosomal RNA, 2550 nt
Filed under: soil metagenome
Description: bacterial LSU rRNA
Rfam family: Bacterial large subunit ribosomal RNA
Source: RNAcentral
UCAAGCUACAAAGAGCGCAUCAUGGAUGCCUUGGUGCCAAUAGGCGAUGAAGGACGUGGUAAGCUGCGAUAAGCUACGGAGAGCGGCAAACACGCUUUGACCCGUAGAUUUCCGAAUGGGGUAACCUGAGCGAGAUAACACUUGCUCGAGUUCCUGUGAAUCCAUAGCAGGAACAUCGCGACACCCGGCGAAGUGAAACAUCUCAGUAACCGGAGGAAAAGAAAUCGAAAGAGAUUCCGUCAGUAGUGGCGAGCGAAAGCGGAACAGGCUAAACCGAUCGACUUGUCGAUCGGGGUUGUAGGAGCCCGACGUGGUAGUGCAAAGGUUAGGUGAAGCUUCUGGAAAGCUGCGCCAUAGAGGGUGAAAGGCCCGUAACCGAAAGCCCGAGCACGCCUAGGGAUUUCCUGAGUAAUACGAUGCACGUGAAACUUCGUAUGAAUCUGCGCCGACCACGGCGUAAGCCUAAAUACUCAUUGGCGACCGAUAGUGAACAAGUACCGCGAGGGAAAGGUGAAAAGAACCGCUGCGAGCGGAGUGAAAUAGUACCUGAAAUGAUGUGCUUACAAGGUGUCAAAGCCCGCAAGGGUGAUGGCGUGCCUUUUGCUUAAUGAGUCUGCGAGUUACUAUCAGUGGCGAGCCUAAGGCGUUCUGCGCUGGAGGCGAAGCGAAAGCGAGUCCGAAAUGGGCAACCCAGUCGCUGGUAGUAGACCCGAAGCGGAGGUGAUCUACCCAUGAGCAGGAUGAAAGUUGCUUAACCGCAACUGAAGGUCCGAACCCGUGACGGUUGAAAACGUCUGGGAUGACUUGUGGGUAGGAGCGAAAGACUAAUCAAACCCCGUGAUAGCUGGUUCUCCCCGAAAUAGCUUGAGGGCUAGCCUCGUGUGCUGACCUGCGGAGGUAGAGCACUGGAUGAACUAGGGCCCAUACCAGGGUACCGAACUCAAUCAAACUCCGAAUACCGCAGGGCGUAACACGGGAGUCAGUGCGUGAGGGAUAAGCUUCACGCGCGAGAGGCAAACAUGCCAGACCAGCAGCUAAGGUGCCCAAAUGCCGUUCAGUGGAAAGGAUGUGAGGUUGCUUAGACAGUGAGGAUGUUGGCUUAGAGGCAGCCAUCAUUUAAACAGUGCGUAAUAGCUGACUCAUCGAGCGAUCUCGCGCCGAUAAUGAUUGGCGAUAAACGGCAUACCGAAGCUCUGGAAUACAUUUUGGUUCGCCAGAAUGGAUUGGUAGGGGAGCGUUCUUAAUGCAUCGAAGCGCAAGGGAAACCGAACGUGGAGUGUUAAGAAGUGAGGAUGCAGACAUGAGUAGCGAUAAGACAGGUUAAAUUCCUGUCCGCCGUAAACCCAAGGUUUCCUGGGGAAGGUUCGUCCUCCCAGGGUUAGUCGGGACCUAAGUCGAGGCCGAAGGGCGUAGACGAUGGACAGCAGGUUUAAUAUUCCUGCACCGGCUGUGGUUAAGCUCGGAAGUGACGUUUCUGUAGAGAUGGGUCGCCGAUUGAAAGUGGCGGUCUGCUCGCAAGAGCAAGGACGUGGAGGCCUCGGCUGAAGCGGAUCCAUUAAAGCAGGAACCGAGAAAAACUUCCGGGUGUUCCCAUGGUUGCCCGUACCGUAAUCCGACACAGGUGGGUGAGUAGAAUAUACUAAGGCGCGUGAGUGAAACCUCGUUAAGGAACUCGGCAAUCUAGCCCCGUAACUUCGGAAGAAGGGGUGCCGGCUCCAUUUCGGUGAUUCGGUGAAGAGCUUAGGCUGCGAAGCAGCCAAACCUUCGAUCCAACAUCGACAAUCGGAGUCCCCCAGCAUCGGUCGACAAGGAGAGAGUCGCCGAAAUGGAGCCGGUCGCAGUGAAAUGGGUCAACCGACUGUUUACCAAAAACACAGCACUCUGCCAAGUCGUGAAGACGACGUAUAGGGUGUGACACGUGACCAAUGCGGAAAGAUUAUGGCAAGACGUCAGCCGCAAGGCGAAGCGUUGAACCGAAGUCCCCGUGAAUGUCGGCCGUAACUAUAACGGUCCUAAGGUAGCGAAAUUCCUUGUCGGGUAAGUUCCGACCUGCACGAAUCGUGUAACGAGUUGACCGCUGUCUCAACGAGGAGCUCAGCGAAGUUGUAGUGGCGGUGAAGAUGCCGCCUACCCGCAGUAGGACGGAAAGACCCUAUGCACCUUUACUACACGCUGUUACUGUUGUUUCGGUUUCGAUGCUUAGCGUAAGUGGGAGGCUUUGAAGCGGUCCUUUUGGGGAUCGCAGAGCCAACAAUGAAACACCACCCUUCGGUACUGGGAUAACUAACCUUUGCCCGUAUAACCGGGAAAGGGACACUGGCAGCCGGCUAGUUUUACUGGGGCGGUAUCCUCCCAAAGAGUAACGGAGGAGUACGAAGGUUGGCUCAACCUGGUUGGCAAUCAGGUGUCGAGUAUAUGGAUAUAAGCCAGCUUAACUGUGAGACACACACGUCGAGCAGGUACGAAAGUAGGUCCAAGUGAUCCGGUGGUUGAAUGUGGAAUUGCCAUCGCUCAACGGACAAAAGGUACGCUAGGGAUAACAGGCUGAUC